This 409-nucleotide long non-coding RNA is filed under the name Gossypium barbadense (sea-island cotton). RNAcentral's name for it is "long non-coding RNA (GBAR_LNC013094)". The record is from RNAcentral. Lineage: Eukaryota; Viridiplantae; Streptophyta; Magnoliopsida; Malvales; Malvaceae.
GCUAGAGUAGUAAAGGCAGCAGCAAGAUGGAAGUCCCCUUUUUCCCAACCCUUUUCUCCUGUAUCAAAGGCUUGGUGGUGCAACAAGCCUUGUUCUCAACCUUGGAGGAUUGGCUAGUGAAGCAUCCCAAAAUCCUCCAGUUUUCAUGGGAAAAUGGCCAAACACCAGCCUCCUCUCACCGCUUCCUCACCCUCACUGUCUUGUCUUACAUCUCUUUCACCUUCGUUCUCUCCCAACUAUCUCGCCCUUCACUUUCACGUCCACUCCUCAAAUCAAUCGCAGCCGUCCACAACAUCUUCCUCCUUACCCUUUCUUUCAUCAUGGCCCUGGGUUGCCUCGUUUCCAUCUUCUCCCAGGUGCCUAACUUCAACACCCUCGUUUGCUUCCCUAGGGGUACAUCCCCAUCGGG